AUUGAACGCUGGCGGCAGGCCUAACACAUGCAAGUCGAGCGGAGCGGCGGCCGGGUGAGUACUGCCUAGGAAUCUGCCUGGUAGUGGGGGAUGCGUCCGGAAACGGGCGCUAAUACCGCAUACUCUCAGAUGAGCCUAGGUCGGAUUAGCUAUUUGGUGGGGUAAAUGCCUACCAAGGCGACGAUCAGUAACUGGUCUGAGAGGAUGAUCAGUCACACUGGCACUGAGACACGGUCCAGACUACGACGGGAGGCAGCAGGGGGGAAUAUUGUACAAUGGGAGAAAGCCGGAUGCAGCCAUGCAGCGUGUAUGAAGAAGGUCUUCGGAUUGGAAAGCACUUUAAGUUGGGAGGCGUUACCAACAGAAUAAGCACCGGGUAACUGCGUGCCAGAAGCCGCGGUAAUUC
RNAcentral lists this ribosomal RNA (406 nucleotides) under uncultured bacterium. RNAcentral describes it as "partial 16S ribosomal RNA". It matches the Rfam family "Bacterial small subunit ribosomal RNA", at positions 30 to 526 of the family's 1533-position model. The record is from RNAcentral.